UGAACAGUUCAUCUUUGUCGGUCAGUAC
This 28-nucleotide small RNA is filed under the name Bombyx mori (domestic silkworm). RNAcentral describes it as "ovarian small RNA-30686". The record is from RNAcentral. Lineage: Eukaryota; Metazoa; Arthropoda; Insecta; Lepidoptera; Bombycidae.